GGGGGGGGGGGGGGGGGGGGGGGGGGCGGGGGGGGCGGGGGGGGGGGCGAGGAGCUUGCGGGGCUGGUGUUGGGGGGGGGCGGGGGGGGGGCGCGGGGGUAACCGCGCUGUAGGCCUGGGAUAACUUCGGGAGACCGUAGCUAGUACCGGGUAAGAGUUUGAACCGCGUGGUGCAAGAGUGAAAGACGGUCUUGCUGUCACUGAUAGAUGUAGCCGCUCUGCAUUAGCUAGUUGGUAAGGUAACGGCUUACCAAGGCAACGAUGCAUAGCCGACCUGAGAGGGUGAUCGGCCACACUGGAACUGAGACACGGUCCAGCCUCCUACGGGAGGCAGCAGUAGGGAAUCUUCCGCAAUGGGCGAAAGCCUGACGGAGCAACGCCGCGUGAGUGAUGAAGGUCUUCGGAUCGUAAAACUCUGUUAUUAGGGAAGAACAUAUGUGUAAGUAACUGUGCACAUCUUGACGGUACCUAAUCAGAAAGCCACGGCUAACUACGUG
This 497-nucleotide ribosomal RNA is filed under the name uncultured bacterium. RNAcentral's name for it is "partial 16S ribosomal RNA". It matches the Rfam family "Bacterial small subunit ribosomal RNA", at positions 38 to 507 of the family's 1533-position model. The record is from RNAcentral.